AACGAAUGCUGGUGGUAUGCUUAACACAUGCAAGUCGAACGGACUUUAGAGAGCUUGCUCUUUAAAGUUAGUGGCAAACGGGUGAGUAAUGUAUAAGAAUCUACCUAACAGUAUGGAAUAACCUUGGGAAACUAAGGAUAAUACCAUAUAUUACCAUUUAUUUGGGAAAGAUUUAUCGCUGUUAGAUGAGCUUAUAUCAGAUUAGCUAGUUGGUAGGGUAAUGGCUUACCAAGGCAAUGAUCUGUAACUGGUCUGAGAGGAUGAUCAGUCACACUGGAACUGCGACACGGUCCAGACUCCUACGGGAGGCAGCAGUGAGGAAUAUUGGACAAUGGGCGAAAGCCUGAUCCAGCAAUACCACGUGAAUGAUGACGGCCUUAGGGUUGUAAAAUUCUUUUAGUAGGGAAGAUAAUGACGGUACCUACAGAAAAAGCACCGGCUAACUUCG
Molecule: ribosomal RNA, 448 nt
Filed under: uncultured Rickettsiales bacterium
Lineage: Bacteria; Pseudomonadati; Pseudomonadota; Alphaproteobacteria; Rickettsiales
Description: bacterial SSU rRNA
Rfam family: Bacterial small subunit ribosomal RNA
Source: RNAcentral